AGAGACUAGUGAUGAAACCCAUGCGAUGUGCAUAUACCAGAUUGUCAGUGUUGAUACACGCAUGCUGCCUUCCUUCUGAAGUCUCU
Maniola jurtina (meadow brown) is the source of this 86-nucleotide small nucleolar RNA. RefSeq annotates it as small nucleolar RNA U83B. NCBI's taxonomy places the organism in Eukaryota, Metazoa, Arthropoda, Insecta, Lepidoptera, Nymphalidae. The record is from RefSeq and is a predicted model, not a curated record. The transcript has a single exon.